Schistocephalus solidus is the source of this 2057-nucleotide non-coding RNA. The record is from Rfam. Lineage: Eukaryota; Metazoa; Platyhelminthes; Cestoda; Diphyllobothriidea; Diphyllobothriidae.
UACCUGAUUCAAUUUGCCAGUAGUCAUAUGCUUGGCUCAAAGAUUAAGCCAUGCAUGUUUAAGUGCAUGCUUUUAUACGGUCAAACCGCGAAUGGCUAAUUAAAUCAGCUAUGGUUUAUUGGAUCAUAACCGUUAAAUGUAUAAUAGUCAUAACUCUAGAGCUAAUACAUGACCCAAAGCCCUGACCCGCCAGGAAAUGUGUGCAUAUAUUAGAUCAGAAGCCAACCAGGUAGUGUUUACUGCCUUCGGGUGGGAGCUUCGCUGCAUGCCGUCCUUCUGGUGUCUCUGAAUUAUUGUAACAGAUCGCAGUCGGCCUUACCUCGCCGACGGGUCCUUCAAAUGUCUGCCUUAUCAGCUGUCGAUGGUAGGUAACCGGCCUACCAUGGUGAUAACGGGUAACGGGGAAUCAGGGUUCGAUUCCAGAGUGGGACCUUGAGAAAUGGCGACCACUUCCAAGGGAGGCAGCAGGCACGCAAAUUACCCACUCCCAGUACGGGGAAGUUGUGACGAAAAAUACUGAUGCGUGACUCUUAUUGAGGAUCCGUCAUCGGAAUGAGUGAAAUAUUUAUCAUUUCACGAGGACCAAUUGAAGAGCAUGUCUGGUGCCAGCAGCCGCUGUAUUUCCAGCUAUAAAAGUGUAUAUUAAUGUUUGAUGCAGUUAAAAAGCUCUACGUUGGAUAUUGGUAUCACUGUCGCCUGCCAGUCCCCGGCUGAUAGUGUCAGUGUAGGUGGGCGGCCUUUCUUCGCUCGGUGCCCCUUGCCCAGGCAUGGUUAUGCUCGAGUUGGCUUGGCGGUGGUGUCAACUUUUAGCCAUGUCUGUGGUGAAAUACCCGCAGGUGUAGGCGAGUGUCAGGUGGUGCUCGGCAACAGUAGGGUCCGUCGGCUCGUCUGCAUGCAUUUUGAUGCCCUUGUAUAUGGGGGAUGGCACGUUAAAUCGAACACAUUUGAGUGCUCAAACCAGACCGAUGUUGACUGAAAAGUUUUGCAAGGAAUAGGAAUUCGGUUUUAUUCUGAUGGUUUUUGUUUUUGAUAAAAUGCUCAAAAGAAACAGGUCGGGACGUUUGUGAUUGAGGUGAAAUUCAUGGACCGUAACGAGAUAAACUAAAGCGAAAUCAUUCGUCAAGCAUCUUUUCAUUGGCCAUGAGUGAAAGUCAGAAGCUCGAAGACGAUCAGAUACCAUCCUUGUUCUGACCAUAAACGAUGCCAUCUGACGAUCCUUGGUGGUAGUAUUUAAACCAUCCCCAGGGGCAGUCCUCGGGAAACGUUUAUUCCUUGGGUUUCGGGGGAUGUAUGGUAGCAAAGCUAAAACCUAAAAGAAUUGACGGAAAGGAACAACCAGGAGUGUAGCCUGCGGCUUAAUUUGACUCAACUCGGGAAAACUCACCUGGUAAUGACAAUUUAAGGAUUGACAGAUUGAUAGCUUUUGAUUGAUUUGGUGGUUGCUGAUGCAGGGAUUUUCUUAUUUGGUGGAGCGAUUGUCUGGUAAAUUCUUAUAACGACCUAGACUCUAUCCUUCUAAUUAGUUCGCCUGUCCUCUGUGCCUGUGUUGGCGGUGUUAGGCCGAAACUGCCCACUUCAGCUGACUACUGCCAGGCCGCGCAUUCCUCUGCCCGCGUGUGAGCUGCGAGCCCUUCCUAAGGCGAGUGUGGUGCGCGUGUGUGGGGGCGUGGACUGUGGUAGGAGGUGUGAGCGUUGGGUUUAGCGCUAGCCUCCGGGUAUUGCGCAGGUGUGUGUGACCUUCUUGCCCGAAAAGGUUGGGCAAAUUUGUCAAUCACCGUCAUGACUGGGAUUGGGGAUUGGAAUUGUUCCCCUUGAACGAGGAAUACCUUGUAUGUGCAAGUCAUAAGCUUGCGCUGAUAACGUCCCUGCCGUUUGUACACACUGCCCGUUGCUAAAACUGAUUGAAUGGUUCACUAGGCUCCUAAUAUUGGCGCCAUUGCAGUGCCAGCCGCAAAGUUGGUGCUCGACGACGACGAGAAGGCGACAAAACAUGAUCAUUUGGAGGAAAUAAAAGUCAUAACAUGGUUUCCGUAGAUGAACAUGCGAAAGGAUCAUAA